UAACCAGGUUCACCUGGAAGAAAGGCUG
RNAcentral lists this non-coding RNA (28 nucleotides) under Mus musculus (house mouse). The record is from RNAcentral. Lineage: Eukaryota; Metazoa; Chordata; Mammalia; Rodentia; Muridae.